Non-coding RNA from Acanthosepion pharaonis, 113 nucleotides. Lineage: Eukaryota; Metazoa; Mollusca; Cephalopoda; Sepiida; Sepiidae. The record is from the annotation of a GenBank genome assembly.
UACGGCAACAUCACGUUGAACCACCGGUUAUCGUAUGAUCACUGAAGUUAAGCAACGUUGAGCCUGGUCAGUACCUAGAUGGGUGACUGCUUGAGAAUAGCAGGUGUUGUAGG